CGCUCCUAUCCAGCUAGCGGUCCAGGCGACCGGCCUUUCAAGCCGGGGACACGGGUUCAAAUCCCGUUGGGAGCGCCAA
Molecule: transfer RNA, 79 nt
Filed under: Acidithiobacillus ferrooxidans ATCC 23270
Lineage: Bacteria; Pseudomonadati; Pseudomonadota; Acidithiobacillia; Acidithiobacillales; Acidithiobacillaceae
Description: tRNA-Glu
Rfam family: tRNA
About the family: Transfer RNA (tRNA) molecules are approximately 80 nucleotides in length. Their secondary structure includes four short double-helical elements and three loops (D, anti-codon, and T loops).
Source: RNAcentral